UGGGGAAUUUUGGACAAUGGGCGUAAGCCUGAUCCAGCAAUGCCGCGUGCAGGAAGAAGGCCUUCGGGUUGUAAACUGCUUUUGUAAGGAACGAAACGGUCUUUUUUAAUACAAGGGGCUAAUGACGGUACCGUAAGAAUAAGCACCGGCUAACUACGUGCCAGCAGCCGCGGUAAUACGUAGGGUGCAAGCGUUAAUCGGAAUUACUGGGCGUAAAGCGUGAGUAGGCGGUGAUGUAAGUCUGUUGUGAAAGCCCCGGGCUCAACCUGGGAACUGCAUCUGUGACUGCAUCGCUGGAGUGCGGUAGAGGGGGAUGGAAUUCCGCGUGUAGCAGUGAAAUGCGUAGAUAUGCGGAGGAACACCGGUGGCGAAGGCGGUCCCCUGGGCCUGCACUGACGCUCAGGCACGAAAGCUUGGGGAGCAAACA
RNAcentral lists this ribosomal RNA (427 nucleotides) under uncultured bacterium. RNAcentral describes it as "bacterial SSU rRNA". It matches the Rfam family "Bacterial small subunit ribosomal RNA", at positions 355 to 774 of the family's 1533-position model. The record is from RNAcentral.